Cucurbita maxima (winter squash) is the source of this 1294-nucleotide RNA transcript. RefSeq lists it as uncharacterized. The transcript has 4 exons. The record is from RefSeq and is a predicted model, not a curated record. Lineage: Eukaryota; Viridiplantae; Streptophyta; Magnoliopsida; Cucurbitales; Cucurbitaceae.
UCACCGUCCCAUAAACUUGGCGCCACCUGCCUCUGUUCAUCGAACGCCCACCUCACUUGGAGGCUUGGAUUUUUUGAUUUUACAAACAAAUUGGCUUCUGAUUCUCACAGUAUACAGGAAAACAAGCGCAAUCCAAUUCGUAUUUUCGAAGAAAUUCAUUUCAAUUCAAUCCCAAUCCCCGUUUUCUCCCUUUUUUCUUGUUCUUCGGUUUGGGAUUUUACAUUUAUAUAUGUUGGAAUCAGGAAAUGCUGAGAAUCAUCUCUCAGAUGUUGGUUGUAGUGGUGUUAAUGACGAUGGUGAUGAUGAAGACAAUGAGCGUCGUAAAAGUAUGGCGAAGGGCCAAAUCAUCGCGCCUGAUUUGGGUAAACAGAAGGGUUUUGGAAAGGCGAAACGAGUGAUGUUGUAUCCAUUUCGAAAGGCGAAGAAACAGAUUCUUCGGCGGAGGAUUAAGAGAGAUUCUUCUUCUUGUUCUUCGUCUUCUUCUGUUGAUUGUACUAGAAGAACAAGUUCUUCCGAUAAAAGGGUUUUUGAUGGAAGCGUUAAUCAGGGUUGUGGUUUCUGUUUCAUGAAACUUUCAAUUUCAGAUUCUAAGAAUGGGCCUCCGACUGAUCCUAAUCACCGGAAGUUCACUAAUGAAAUGUUGAAAGUUCUUAUUGAGAAGAAUGAUUUCUAUUCCAAGGAAUCCAAUCCUCACUUGGAUGUUCAUAUGGGCACUGGACGAAAACAUUAAAUUCAAUUGGGUUUUGCUUGUUGAGAAAGAUGAAGUAUUAUGCACUUGUGUCUCCUAUUUUAUAUGUACGAAAAAUCGAGACUUGUAUCAGACAACUUAGUCUGCUGUUCUUCUUCAUCGCCCCGUUUUAUCUCAUGGAAGUUAAGUUGAUGGUAUGCUACAAACUUCGCUAGUGAUGCUUAUUGUAACACUUCAAGUCUACUGCUAGCAGAUAUUGUCUUCUUUGAGUCGAAUGGUUGCAGUGGAACGGUAGCGGCUUGUUUUAGGUUAGCAGAUUUUGUCUUCUUGAGGGAAAGUCCGAAAGGAAAAGUCUAAAGAGUACAAUAUCGGCUAGUGGUGGAUUUGUGAUUCUUUUAAGGGGCUAAGCUGAUGGCAAAUACAUGCCCAUUUUUUUCCUCUCCUUUAUGGUUAGUUCACCUUAAGAAUGAAGGUGAAUACAAAUUCUAGUUAUAUUUUGGAUUGAGUUAGAAAAUGGCGGAACUUAGGAUUUUUUGUUGUAACUUUUCAUCAAAUUCUUGACUUAACCUGUCUCAAGUUUUUGAGAAGCUUUAUUGUAAGAUCUCA